UCCGUAGGUGGCAAGCGUUAUCCGGAUUCACUGGGCGUAAAGAGCGCGUAGGUGGUUCUGCAAGUCAGGUGUGAAAUUCCCCGGCUUAACCGGGGAAAGCCAUCUGAUACUGCUGGACUUGAGGGCGGUAGAGGGAGGUGGAAUUCCCGGUGUAGUGGUGAAAUGCGUAGAUAUCGGGAGGAACACCAGUGGCGAAGGCGGCCUCCUGGGCCGUUCCUGACACUGAGGCGCGAAAGCGUGGGGAGAGAACAGG
Molecule: ribosomal RNA, 253 nt
Filed under: uncultured bacterium
Lineage: Bacteria
Description: partial 16S ribosomal RNA
Rfam family: Bacterial small subunit ribosomal RNA
Source: RNAcentral